UACGAGGGGUGCAAGCGUUGUUCGGAAUCACUGGGCGUAAAGGGAGCGUAGGCGGAGAUGCAAGCAGUCUGUACAAUACCGGGGCCCAACCCCGGACCUGCAGACUGGACUGUGUCUCUUGGAUAGUUCAGGGGCAGGCGGAAUUCCUGGUGUAGCGGUGGAAUGCGUAGAGAUCAGGAAGAACACCGAUGGCGAAGGCAGCCUGCUGGGGACUUAUCGACGCUGAGGCUCGAAAGUGCGGGUAGCAAAC
RNAcentral lists this ribosomal RNA (250 nucleotides) under uncultured prokaryote. RNAcentral's name for it is "partial 16S ribosomal RNA". It matches the Rfam family "Bacterial small subunit ribosomal RNA", at positions 524 to 773 of the family's 1533-position model. The record is from RNAcentral.